Molecule: ribosomal RNA, 174 nt
Filed under: uncultured bacterium
Lineage: Bacteria
Description: partial 16S ribosomal RNA
Rfam family: Bacterial small subunit ribosomal RNA
Source: RNAcentral
UUGGUAAGGUAACGGCUUACCAAGGCGNAUGAUGCAUAGCCGAGUUGAGAGACUGAUCGGCCACAUUGGGACUGAGACACGGCCCAAACUCCUACGGGAGGCAGCAGUAGGGAAUCUUCCACAAUGGACGCAAGUCUGAUGGAGCAMCGCCGCGUGAGUGAAGAAGGUUUUCGG